CCUCAGAUGGGCGAUUGCCUUGCCUCCAUGGUUUUUCAUAACUACCAUUUUGCUCUCACACGAACUGUUGGCAAGGCAAGAAACCAGAAAAGUCUAGGCUCUGGCAGCAUUGGUUUCAAAGCCAAAGCACAAAAAGUUAAAAAGUUGAAGCGCCCUGGCUUCUUCUGGAGGUGCACACACAAUCUGCGGAGGUGCACACACAAUUUGUGGAGGAAACGUGCUGAGGAGCAACCUGGUCUGGAAACCAGCUGCAAGGAUGUGGAGGGAGCUACGCCCCUUCUCCCCCCAGGCCAGAGCCGUCUGCUGUGGGACUGACUAGGAGGAGAGAGCUGGAGCUCACCAACCUGCCGUCACCGCUCAUUGUGCCAAGCCCACAGCACUUCAGUAAACCCUGCUAAUCCCACAGCCAGUCUGGGCUGGAGGACAGACAGCACAUGACCGGAGGAAGAGGAAGAGCAAGAUAUCCUGAGGUAAAUUGUCCUUUGGUGGCAGCGAUGGAAAUAUGGGCUGAAGAUGGGGAGUCUCCCUUCACAGCCAGUGAGACGUUCUCUGUGUGCAGCUUCCCGACGGCUGUGGAUCCUUGGAGACCAAGGAUUUGUAAUGAUUUUUUGUGGGUGUUAAGUGUUCUUAUACAAGUGAAAAAUAAAUGACUCACAGGAAGAAAAGAAA
Long non-coding RNA from Cygnus atratus (black swan), 669 nucleotides. RefSeq lists it as uncharacterized. The record is from RefSeq and is a predicted model, not a curated record. Lineage: Eukaryota; Metazoa; Chordata; Aves; Anseriformes; Anatidae. The transcript has 3 exons.